RNAcentral lists this ribosomal RNA (700 nucleotides) under uncultured bacterium. Its description in RNAcentral is "bacterial SSU rRNA". It matches the Rfam family "Bacterial small subunit ribosomal RNA", at positions 8 to 686 of the family's 1533-position model. The record is from RNAcentral.
AGAGUUUGAUCAUGGCUCAGGAUGAACGCUGGCGGCGUGCUUAACACAUGCAAGUUGAGCGGUAAGGCCCCUUCGGGGGUACACGAGCAGCGAACGGGUGAGUAACGCGUGGGUAAUCUACCCAGAGGUGGAGGAUAGCCCCGGGAAACCGGGGGUAAUACUGCAUACGUCUCUCCCUGCAUAAGCGGGGAUUGAGAAAGGCGGGGAUCUUCGGACCUGUCGCCUCUGGAUGAGCCCGCGUCCGAUUAGCUAGUUGGUGAGGUAAUGGCUCACCAAGGCAUCGAUCGGUAGCCGGCCUGAGAGGGUGAACGGCCACAUUGGGACUGAGACACGGCCCAGACUCCUACGGGAGGCAGCAGUGGGGAAUUUUGGGCAAUGGGCGAAAGCCUGACCCAGCGACGCCGCGUGGAGGAUGAAGGCCUUCGGGUUGUAAACUCCUGUCAGGUGGGAAGAAGAGUCCUGUGGAUAAUACCCACAGGAAAUUGACGGUACCACCAAAGGAAGCCCCGGCUAACUCCGUGCCAGCAGCCGCGGUAAUACGGGGGUGGCAAGCGUUGUCCGGAAUUACUAGGCGUAAAGGGCAGGUAGGCGGAUAUUCAAGUCAGGUGUUAAAGGCAUCAGCUCAACUGGUGUACGGCAUUUGAAACUGGAUAUCUAGAGUCAGGUAGAGGUAGAUGGAAUUCCUAGUGUAGCGGUGGAA